GGCCCGGCCCGGCGGGCAGCGGCGGUCGAGGGCGGCCCUCACCGGCCUGGCCCGGCUGCGGGGAGAGCCGCGAGGACGGGAGGCAGUCGAGCUCGGGGAGGGCUUGGGAAAAGAGCUGUCGUGAGCCCGCUGGGAAGGGCGGCCUGGGCCUGGAGAGAGAGAUGGGAAGACAGGCAGUGCCUCCCCCCACUGGAACAUUGUGUGCCCUUUGAUUCAGCUGGCACCCCUCCUGCCCUCAGCACAGGGUUCUGCUGUAUGAUUAGCCAGGCUUUGUGGAUCCCGCUUUUCAGUGUCUAAAUCUGUAACUUCGAGCCCAGCUCAGAGCUGCAGAUCAUCCCACAAACUGGCAAGCUUUCCUCCAUUGAAGGAUGACCGAAUCAUGAACCAGGUUUUCAAUGCAAGGAAAUUAACAAAAAGGAUACCACUGAUUUUCAGUGAAUUUUACCAACUGUUCUCAAUGAAUUUUCUAUACCUUGAGAAACACCAAAA
Molecule: long non-coding RNA, 489 nt
Organism: Gallus gallus (chicken)
Lineage: Eukaryota; Metazoa; Chordata; Aves; Galliformes; Phasianidae
Exons: 4
Source: RefSeq, a predicted model, not a curated record